GAUGAACGCUGGCGGCGUGCCUAAUACAUGCAAGUCGAGCGAACGGACGAGAAGCUUGCUUCUCUGAUGUUAGCGGCGGACGGGUGAGUAACACGUGGAUAACCUACCUAUAAGACUGGGAUAACUUCGGGAAACCGGAGCUAAUACCGGAUAAUAUUUUGAACCGCAUGGUUCAAAAGUGAAAGACGGUCUUGCUGUCACUUAUAGAUGGAUCCGCGCUGCAUUAGCUAGUUGGUAAGGUAACGGCGUACCAAGGCAACGAUGCAUAGCCGACCUGAGAGGGUGAUCGGCCACACUGGAACUGAGACACGGCCCAGACUCCUACGGGAGGCAGCAGUAGGGAAUCUUCCGCAAUGGGCGAAAGCCUGACGGAGCAACGCCGCGUGAGUGAUGAAGGUCUUCGGAUCGUAAACCUCUGUUAUUAGGGAAGAACAUAUGUGUAAGUAACUGUGCACAUCUUGACGGUACCUAAUCAGAAAGCCACGGCUAACUACGUG
Molecule: ribosomal RNA, 497 nt
Filed under: uncultured bacterium
Lineage: Bacteria
Description: partial 16S ribosomal RNA
Rfam family: Bacterial small subunit ribosomal RNA
Source: RNAcentral